UACGUAGGUGGCAAGCGUUGUCCGGAAUUAUUGGGCGUAAAGCGCGCGCAGGCGGCCCUCUUAAGUCUGAUGUGAAAGCCCCCGGCUCAACCGGGGAGGGCCAUUGGAAACUGGGAGGCUUGAGUAUAGGAGAGAAGAGUGGAAUUCCACGUGUAGCGGUGAAAUGCGUAGAGAUGUGGAGGAACACCAGUGGCGAAGGCGACUCUUUGGCCUAUAACUGACGCUGAGGCGCGAAAGCGUGGGGAGCAAACAGG
This 254-nucleotide ribosomal RNA is filed under the name uncultured bacterium. RNAcentral describes it as "partial 16S ribosomal RNA". It matches the Rfam family "Bacterial small subunit ribosomal RNA", at positions 524 to 776 of the family's 1533-position model. The record is from RNAcentral.